ACUGGAAACAGCUGUUUACCACGAGACCAGGAAUGGCGUGAAGCGAGGGAGGUAGUCACCCUGCAUACAAAAUUUUAGAGGGCACCCCAAAAUUCAGUAAUCCAGAGUCACAAGGCUUUCCAAGUCUUUUGAGAAGAAAACCUGCUAUAAAUGAAACAGGAUGGCUAAUUCUGUAUCUUCAUAAUUCAUGUGAAAUCCGGAUUUUGUUAAACAAAAGUAUUACGACCUGUGGUUCAGUUCAACCCGUGAAGAUCGGCCAGUGCGUCUUCAUAACGUUCAAAGCAGCCUGGCCAACCUGGCAGUUCUCUUGAAGUUGUAAAACCUCCAUUCCAACAAUCCCGCUGAGUUUUUCUAUCAGAAGACACAGGUUUUCCUUCUUAGGAUGCUUCUCUGCCACCCGGAGGAUACAAGAGAUAAUAUGGAGAAUGAUGAAAACAGUUUUUAUGUCUUGGGAGGUGAGUUGAUUCACUUAGUGGCUCAAAGACUUUGGAGUGAACACACUGGAUCCACUGGCCCACAGGCCCUCCAGUUGUGCAGUUAGCCAUCAGCCAGAUAGCCUCUUUCUGGACAUUAAACUCUCCAUUUUUUAACAGAGCCACCAAGGGAGGCAGCGUACCACAAGGAAUCCACAGCUGGAUGUCUGGAUGCCUCCUCUGGAUGGAGAACUUGCGGUGCAUCAGGAGCUGGGGCAGCAUGCUCAGCCGCCUGUGUCAACGGCCACUUAGUUCUGGUGAUCCGUUACAAUGACGAAGUUUCCACAGUGUGGAGAGAGGGGGUCAAGACAUUGAGCCUCAAACUGGUCAUGAGCUCUAGCAGCCAGACAGGACCCCCUUGUCAACCGUUUGGCAGAUGCACUCAUUGCAGCCAUCAUGAGGUAGGACAUGGCCCAGCAGGUGUCCCAGGGAACCUCAUUGCCACGACGCUGUGGGAGGUGGAAGAGGAGUAACAACAUUUACUUGACCACUUUUUCACAAGAGUACCGGUUGUUGUUUUGCUCCAGUGUGGACAAGGUCCACAUGAUGUUCUACAGAAAUGGGAUGGGUAUGGUUGAUGAAAAACCAGGGCCAGCAGAUGUGGGACAGCAUUGCUCAAGAGGACGAUGUCUCUGAAUUCUCAGCUGUCACCUGCUCUGUUACCAAGAACCCACAUUACCUGUUCACAAACAGUCACACCAGGGGAAGACAGAAGCUCACUCAAGGGCUGGAUGGCACUCCGUCCACAACAGCUGGUGUCUGCUCCAAAGUCAAUGAAGCUGUGCUGGUCAGAGCCCAGGCUGCCUCAACCGCAAGCAGUGGUGAAGCCAUGACUUCAGGAGCUCCAGCAGCAUGAGAACGAGCCUUGCUUCAACAAUCUAUUUUAGAGGAGGGCUUCUUUCUUGAGACAGCAUUUUCCUGGCUGCCUGAGUGGCCUGGACACAUAGCUCUGGGUCCGAGGAGUCACACCAUUGAUUAUUUCAUGCAGGGGGAAGCUGACCAAUUUGGUGAGCUUUCCUGAAACUGAGUCAGGUGAGAGAUUGGUCAUGUUCCUUCUCUUUACAGCCUGCUCGUCUUUCUUGGCUUUCUGGAGCUGUAGGCUGAUUGCCAUCUGCUGUUGCUGCCUCGUAGAUGCUUCUUUGCCUCAGUACUGAAAUUUCCUCAGCCUCUCGACUAGAACUUCUAAAGUUGGCACAUUGACUGGAAGAAGCAUAAGAAACCACCUGGCGGAGCUGCCCUGAUUGAUGAGGUAGAAAGAAAGCAAUAUUCGAAGUCCAAAACCCAAGGUCCAAUUUGUGACUGAUUAGAAUAUAUGACCUGAUUUCACCUACAAUGUUAUUUACCUUUCUUAGGUGGCAGUUCUUUCUUCUAUGGAUUAGUGGUGAUAAUACCUGACUUUCUGAAGUUCAGGCUAUUUUGGAAGAAAACAACUAUUAAUGCAAUAACAAAACUUUUGAAAUAUGGAAUUCCUAUUAAUAUUCCUUAAGCAAUGCAAUGCAUUUUCAUUAUCAUCUUGCCUUGUGUCAGCAAAAAUUCUAUGAACUAGGUAAGCUGAAGGUGAACCCAGUGCGCUAGAAAAGAAGGGUGUGCUCUUAUAAUGAUAGUAUUGAGCUGAGAAGUCUGUGAGGGGCUGUACUUAAGGACUCAGUAUUGACACUUGCAUUUUUGUAUACACAUUCUCUCCUCUCCCAUAAAAUAUUGAUUAAGCACUUAAGUUUAUUGAGUAAAGUAAUGCAUAAAUCUAACACAUGGUAUCAAGUUUCGAGAAGAUUAUAAUUCACUUUGUCAGACUGUACUGGCAGUCAUUAAACAGCCAAUGACGUAUUUCUAAAUUUCGUGCAAAAAGCACAUUAGUAAUUGCUCAGCUAAACCAGUUUAGCAGUCUUUCCUUCCCAUUUUCUUUGAGAACUUUGUCUCAAAAUUCUAGAAUAGCAAUGAUUUUGUGGUCUACUUGUUAUUGGGACAUUUGGUUAAUAAUGGGAUAUUUCAGAGUACACGGGGGGAGCAAAAUGGUAAUCACAUGCACAGAAACGUUUGUCAAAGAUUAUAGCAUUAAAGUGGACACUAGAGCUAAAGAAAUAGCCAGAGGAGAAUGAAUGAUGGAAGAGAGUUUUAAUUUAUUUUUAUGUUGGCUUCAAGCAUAUUUAAAAGAGAAUGGACUAUAAGUAGAUAAUGAAUCAUCAUACAACAGAAAAAGGAGAGGCAAGGAUUCCUUUUUAUCAGGAAUGGAAAGGAAAUGAGUGGGUGAAAAUGACUAUCCAUUUAGAGACUUGUUGAGAGGAAAGGGAAGUCACAAUGGAUGUGUCUUGCAGUGAGGUGGAGAAUAGCUGAAAAGAGUACAUAUGUUUUAAAUCUCCCCAGUGGAGACUGGGAGAGAGGCUGGCUAGUAAACAUAGCAGGACUGCUGAGAGCACAAAGAUUUAAACUGAAUUCGCUGUCCAUAUUUAUAGAGGAGCUGAUCUGUCUGCUUUGUUAUUUUUCUUCAGUAAAAUGCAACAGAUAUAGACAUAGAGAAUAAUUGUAUUAAUUCAAGGAUGAUGCAUAUGGAUAUCAGGUCAUGAGAUUUGAAGUAUUUAACCUUGGGAAGAAAGGAUGUGAAGAUUAUGAGAGCUCCAAUUGGGAGAGUGUUCAAGCGCGAGGGGGA
Molecule: long non-coding RNA, 3117 nt
Organism: Equus caballus (horse)
Lineage: Eukaryota; Metazoa; Chordata; Mammalia; Perissodactyla; Equidae
Source: Ensembl